Molecule: ribosomal RNA, 429 nt
Filed under: Chloroflexota bacterium
Lineage: Bacteria; Bacillati; Chloroflexota
Description: Chloroflexi bacterium partial 16S ribosomal RNA
Rfam family: Bacterial small subunit ribosomal RNA
Source: RNAcentral
UGGGGAAUAUUGCACAAUGGGCGCAAGCCUGAUGCAGCCAUGCCGCGAGUGUGAAGAAGGUCUUCGGGUUGUAAAGCACUUUCAGCGGGGAGGAAGGCGAUAAGGUUAAUAACCUUGUCGAUUGACGUUACCCGCAGAAGAAGCACCGGCUAACUCCGUGCCAGCAGCCGCGGUAAUACGGAGGGUGCAAGCGUUAAUCGGAAUUACUGGGCGUAAAGCGCACGCAGGCGGUCUGUCAAGUCGGAUGUGAAAUCCCCGGGCUCAACCUGGGAACUGCAUUCGAAACUGGCAGGCUAGAGUCUUGUAGAGGUGGGUAGACUUCCAGGUGUAGCGGUGAAUUGCGUAGAGAUCUGGAUGAAGACCGGUGGCGAAGGCGGCCUCCUGAACAAAGACUGACGCUCAGGUGCGAAAGCGUGGGGAGCAAACAGG